RNAcentral lists this ribosomal RNA (511 nucleotides) under uncultured Bacillus sp. Its description in RNAcentral is "bacterial SSU rRNA". It matches the Rfam family "Bacterial small subunit ribosomal RNA", at positions 9 to 497 of the family's 1533-position model. The record is from RNAcentral. Lineage: Bacteria; Bacillati; Bacillota; Bacilli; Caryophanales; Bacillaceae.
GAGUUUGAUCCUGGCUCAGGACGAACGCUGGCGGCAUGCCUAAUACAUGCAAGUCGAACGCACGAAGUUGAAAAGCUUGCUUUUCGACCAAGUGAGUGGCGGACGGGUGAGUAACACGUGGGUAACCUGCCCAUAAGAGGGGGAUAACAUUCGGAAACGGAUGCUAAUACCGCAUAUUUCAAGUGACCGCAUGGUCGCUUGAUGAAAGGUGGCUUCGGCUACCACUUAUGGAUGGACCCGCGGUGCAUUAGUUAGUUGGUGAGGUAAUGGCUCACCAAGACCAUGAUGCAUAGCCGACCUGAGGGGGUGAUCGGCCACACUGGGACUGAGACACGGCCCAGACUCCUACGGGAGGCAGCAGUAGGGAAUCUUCCGCAAUGGACGAAAGUCUGACGGAGCAAUGCCGCGUGAGUGAAGAAGGUUUUCGGAUCGUAAAACUCUGUUGUUAGAGAAGAACAAGGAUGAGAGUAACUGCUCAUCCCCUGACGGUAUCUAACCAGAAAGCCACGGC